Meleagris gallopavo (turkey) is the source of this 245-nucleotide non-coding RNA. The record is from RefSeq and is a predicted model, not a curated record. Lineage: Eukaryota; Metazoa; Chordata; Aves; Galliformes; Phasianidae.
UCCUGUGUGUCCUUACAGAUGUGAAUGGCGGAGAAUGGGAUCCAGCUUCCCAGCUGGCUUCCAGCUCAGAAGCUCUGGCGGAUCGCAUGGACGAGCCUGCGCUGAGGGCAUUGCCAGAUCCUCGACUGGCGUCCCGCUGGCAUCCCGGAGGUCCUGCGAGAUGGAACGAGGAAUUGAAGACAGGAAAAUAUUUCCCUGUCCUCGAGGGAAGGAAGAAGGAUUUGGAGAAGGCAGUCCCUGGUGCG